UUCGCAAUGCCCGAAAGGGUGACGAAGCGACGCCGCGUGGGUGAGGAAGGCCUUCGGGUUGUAAAGCCCUGUCAGGAGUUAAGAAAUGUAGACUCGCUAAUAUCGGGUCUAUUUGACAAAGGCUCCAAAGGAAGCCACGGCUAACUCUGUGCCAGCAGCCGCGGUAAUACAGAGGUGGCAAGCGUUGUUCGGAAUUAUUGGGCGUAAAGAGCACGUAGGUGGGUUUGUAAGUCAGAUGUGAAAGCCUUCUGUUCAACGGAAGAAUUGCAUCUGAAACUGCAAGUCUUGAGUGUAGGAGGGGAGAAUGGAACUUCUGGUGGAGCGGUGAAAUGCGUAGAUAUCAGAAGGAACGCCGGCGGCGAAAGCGAUUCUCUGGCCUAUUACUGACACUCAGUGCGCGAAAGCUAGGGGAGCAAACAGGAUUAGAUACCCUGGUAGUCCUAGCUGUAAACGAUGGGCACUAAGUAGAGGGGUUUU
Molecule: ribosomal RNA, 477 nt
Filed under: uncultured bacterium
Lineage: Bacteria
Description: bacterial SSU rRNA
Rfam family: Bacterial small subunit ribosomal RNA
Source: RNAcentral